RNAcentral lists this unclassified non-coding RNA (419 nucleotides) under Vibrio vulnificus. The stretch from base 67 to 139 matches the Rfam family "tRNA". Lineage: Bacteria; Pseudomonadati; Pseudomonadota; Gammaproteobacteria; Vibrionales; Vibrionaceae. The record is from RNAcentral.
AUACGAUGAUUAUUGCGAUGAGUGUUCACACAGAUUGAUGGUUUAUUAUGUUUUAGUGAUAGAUGUGGGGCUAUAGCUCAGCUGGGAGAGCGCUUGCAUGGCAUGCAAGAGGUCGACGGUUCGAUCCCGUCUAGCUCCACCAUUACUAAAGGUUUUAAUUUAGAAUCUUUAGUAAUGGUUUCGAAAGAAAUCUGCUCUUUAACAAUUUGGAAAGCUGACAAAACAACAAUUUAUUGUUGUUUGUAAAGUUCUCAAUGUUUGUCUUUAUGACAAACACCAACAAACACAUUCAAGUGUUCUUGGGAAUGUCACUUUAGUGACUAUUCGAAAUUGAGUCCGGCAAAAUCAACGCUAUCUCGCUCAUUCAAAUAAUGAGAUAGCAACUUUGGUUGUUUAACAAAGACCCUUUGGGGUUGUAU